Molecule: unclassified non-coding RNA, 227 nt
Filed under: plant metagenome
Description: partial contains small subunit ribosomal RNA, internal transcribed spacer 1, and 5.8S ribosomal RNA
Source: RNAcentral
UUUCCGUAGGUGAACCUGCGGAAAGAUCAUUAAAGAAUUUGCCCCGUCCUCUCGAGGAUGGGUCCUCUUCUAAACCGUGUAUACAUACCUUUGUUGCUUUGGCGGGCCGCCGUCUCGGCGUUGGCUUCGGCUGACUGUGCCCGCCAGAGAACCCCAACUCUUCUGUUUAGUAUUGUCUGAGUACUAUAUAAUAGUUAAAACUUUCAACAACGGAUCUCUUGGUUCUG